This is a long non-coding RNA of Daphnia magna, 1102 nucleotides long. RefSeq lists it as uncharacterized. NCBI's taxonomy places the organism in Eukaryota, Metazoa, Arthropoda, Branchiopoda, Diplostraca, Daphniidae. The record is from RefSeq and is a predicted model, not a curated record. The transcript has 3 exons.
AAAAACAAAGCACAGAAUAUUUUAGUUGGCUUUUCUGCUUAAUGUUAUUGUUACACUUAACUUUUGGAAACAUAGAAGUGUAUACAGAUGUUCAGGGUCAAAUCGAUGAAAUGGUUGAGCCAAAAAAGAACUUCAUAUUACUUUUGCACAGGUCCUAACUCAGUGUACGUGGUUUAUGCCCCACUAUACAAUCCAAUAAACUUCAGGCUGAGGUCUUCCAGUGCUGAGAAUUUAUUUGGCAAGCAAAUACUCAAUAAGGAGUUAGGUGGAACAGUGGAGAGAAAAAUAUUCGCGAUGGGCAAUUUGAGAUCCAAGUAGAAACGGAAUGGCUAUUGUUUAAAGGCUUAGAGACUCGGCAAAUGGUAUUACAUGGUAAAUGGUUAAAUGGUAUUGUGACAGCUUAGACAAGGUUGCAGAAGGGUUGCGUUACGUCGCAAAAUCUUCACAUCAUAUUAUUUCCGCUAUUGCUGAUAUUACUGAGUCCAGUUCCAUGAUUUGACUGAAAACGGACGAAAAAUGUUGCAUGCCUUCUUAUUCGAAAUCUGUGGAUUGCAAGGAGGUUUCACAUUGGAGAAACGCGAGCAGCAGUGUAACGAUUACAUCCGGCGCACGGUCGGACGUGAUAAGAUCGUGCUCAUGCUAGUAAGCGGUGGAGUCGAUUCCGCCGUUCGUGCUGCCCUUCUCCAUAAAGCUAUAAGCAUAAAGCUACAGGUGAUAACUCGUCGCGAGUGCAGGGCAUCUAUAUCCAUUCUUAUCUUUUUCUUUUUUUUUAUAUUUUAUCUUUACGAAAAGAUACAAUAUGUUUGCUAAUUUACUUUAUUUAAGUUAUUCAGCGACAGUUAACAAGCGUUUUAGUAAUUUACCUUGGGCUACUUGAAAUUAUUAUUACAAGUUUCAUUUAAGUUCAUGGUAAAAGUUGAAAUUCAAAGUGUAUGUCUAAUGGCACAACGGUAUAGCAUCGGAGCGGUACGUAGAAGAUUUAGGGUUCGAUUCCCUAAAGAGUUCAGUUACAUUCCAAUGUAAAAAUAAAUUCCAUUGGGAAAAUUCUGAUUUAUGAGUUACAAAAUCUCUAAGUAAAAUUAGAGUGCCUUAACCAAAGACU